GGGUUGUGAGGUUAAGUGACCAAGCGUACACGGUGGAUGCCCUGGCAGUCAGAGGCGAUGAAGGACGUGCUAAUCUGCGAAAAGCGCCGGUAAGGUGAUAUGAACCGUUAUAGCCGGCGAUGUCCGAAUGGGGAAACCCAGUGUGA
This 146-nucleotide ribosomal RNA is filed under the name Salmonella enterica subsp. houtenae serovar 40:z4,z24:-. RNAcentral's name for it is "partial 23S ribosomal RNA". It matches the Rfam family "Bacterial large subunit ribosomal RNA", at positions 1 to 136 of the family's 2925-position model. Lineage: Bacteria; Pseudomonadati; Pseudomonadota; Gammaproteobacteria; Enterobacterales; Enterobacteriaceae. The record is from RNAcentral.